UCUACUCGCUCUUCUGGUCAUCUGCUGCCUGAGGAGGCGUGCGAAACUAGCGAGAGAACGAGCCAGGAGGAGAAAUUGUGACAUGGACCACGGCGCGCUGAGUCUUGUCAGGUUCAGCCCCAUCCAUCGACUCGCUGGAGUCGGGAGAACCAACAGGGCUGUAUCUCUGAGGAGCGAAAGGGGCUCUCGGGCAUUUCCAACCCUGGAACUGGACACAGUCGUCGAGGAGCGAUCGGACCCGGAACAAAGUACGGCCCUGGAACUGAGUAGUCCUGACUAGCAUACGGCUCUCGCGGCACCGCCAAGAUCGCCGAGGGGAUCGACGGUUCUGGUCGUGCCACCCCCAGUGGAUCGCAGCCCCCUUUGGACGGCCCUGACACACGCGAACAGCGUGACAACGGUGCUGGGAGACACCUAGCAGGAAAUUGAAGACAGCGGCUUCGUCGAAGCGCUGGUCCUUGAGCUCCCGAUCAUUUACUGACAACGGAGUCUCAACGACGUCGGCAUCGGCUGCACCGCUGUCUUCGAAUCAUCGAAUACCCUGCGCCAAGAUUAAUUAAGUUGACCCACCGACGUUAUAGUGAACAUUUCACGUCGUGUGAUUGUCGCGAUGCUACAUUGUAUAAAGCGAUAACGUUAAGGGGGUCAAAGUGGUGAAAUCUCCUAUCGCACAAUCGGAAAUCUAGACGACGAAUUAUACAGCUAUUGCGAACGCGCAAAACGCGAUAAAUUAAACAAAUAAGUCUCGAGCGAAUAUGCACAACUUGUACAAAAUAGAAACAGCUGUUAAUUAUUAUAUUAUCAAUUGCUAUACAGCGCAGUAGAUGUAUGUGUAAUAUGUUACGCGGGGAAGUAGAAUAACGUAUGUAAUAUGUGUAUAUAAUUGGAAUUACGAGUUUUAAAUUGUAAGAGGUCUGCAGUUAAUUUGAAAUGCGUAAUUGUUCCGGUACCUCUGAAGUAUCGGUGUCGAUAUUACCUUUUAUACAACUGUAGAAUUGAAAUCAAAUUAAAAUAUACACGACACCGUACAGUGAUUGCUUUAUUUUGUUGUGUCUAAACAUUACCAAUCAUAAAUUUCAUUAAUGGAAUAUGGUGAUAAUUACGUACAAUUACCUUUCAAUACUUUUUCAAAACACACCCGCAUAUUCUGAUUCCGAAUAUUGAUCUUCACCGUACAUAGAAUACACUGCAACUGUGGUUCAACCGGGGCACACCAGUUACCACUCUCGAAUUAAAAUAACUGAGGCAAGACUUUUCAAUUGAAUAACUUUUGCGACAUACGGCGUAAAAUAAUCGAUACCUCGAAUGAUUAUGAUAGCACGCAAAAAACUCGCUAAAGAAUUGCAUGUACGCCUAUAUGGGUAUAGUUAGUGUAUCCAGUGACAGAGUAUAACGUAAUUAUUUUUAACGGCUAUUGGUCACGCAAUUAUUCAAAAGUGUCACAGGCCAAUAUCAGAUUAUGGGUAUAUAAAUGUAUAAUAACUACUCUAGAUUAUAGGUAGGUACACGUGUAUAAUAUUAGCAAGUCUAGGUAAAAAAUCCAACCGAAAGAGCAAUCAAUUCCCAUGUUGAGUCAUUUUCAAAAUUUUUGAUAAAAGGAAAAAAAAAAUGAUCACCCACUUGAGCGAUGCCUCAUGUUCGAAUCUACCGACAUGGCUUUGCUCGUACUACACACGUUUAUAGGGUAGUCGCUAAUUUGCAUUCUUACGUAUGUAAUGAUCAUAUUGAUCGUACAUCCUUGCGCAGAACGCGGAUCACUUUGGCAUAUUAAAAAUUAUCUGUUUUGCAGGGAGCUCUGCGAGACUUGCACAACAAUCGUUACGCAAAUGAAAAGGUCUGAUCUACGGCAGCCUAUCUUUCUUGUGCUAAAGUAACGGUUACCGUAACAUCAUUUUCUUCCAAUCGACAACGUCGAACAACUGUCUCGUAAAAAAUCAUAAUUCAAGCGCGAUUGAUAAGACAUCAUCUGUAAAUGGAUGAAAUUAUAAAGAAUUGUAGGAAAGUACGAAGGAAUGUUGACGGGCUGCGAAUAAUCAUAUAAUAUUGAAGUUAAUAACGUUAUCGUAACGAAUCAUGAUGAGGAAAACGGGUAUUUUUCGAUUUUGGAAUCGUCUGAAAUUCAGUGAACCGAAAUAAAACGAAACAAUCUGAUAUUUCGAAAUUUUAGUUCCAUAAAAAUAGUUGUAACAUUAUGAAAACAGUGAUUUUUUGCCCUAAUGUUUCGUUACGAUAACGUAACUAACUUCAACCUCGUUGCCAAUCAAAAAUGCUAAACUAAUACUUAUAAAUUGAGAAAUUUGUGGUCGCUCGUGAAAUGUGAAAAAUAGUUGUAAUGUAGGUGUUUGAAAAAGAAUAGCAGCAAAUGGACCAACGCAUCAGAAGAAUUGUAUAAUGGAUAUGUAACAAACAUUAAUCAGAUAUUGUAGAGCAAAAUUAGAGUAAUAUGCCGAAUAGUCGAGUAAAUAUUUUUAUCCUCACGCCUCGGUAAGAAGUGAGUAAGUAGUAAGUAUCUUAUAUCUAUAAUUAGUUAGGCGAAAAUGGUAGAGAAGGAAAAGAUGCCAACCUUAUUGAUAUACUGAUAAGUGUUGUAAGUUACAAACUCGAAACAUGUUCUAGACAUAAUGAAAUGCCCAAUUAUGCCUUCCAGGAGUACUUUCAAGGCACAAAUUUCAUCCGGAGAUAAAAUUAAGUCGCGUGUAAAUAUAUCGUUCAACUUUAUUCCAAUUAUAUUACGUGCAAAUAUUUGUUCAGUCUAGGUACGUAACUUGUCUGUUUACGGUUCAAUUGCGUCACACGUUACAGAUUUUCAAGUCUAAUAAAAUAUUCGUCUGCCAAAUUCUGCCGAUUAGACGGCACGAGUACAUUUUAUAUCCCGUUAAAUAAGUCCACUCGAAUACAUUUUUUAAUUACAAAGAACACUAAUGCAUUAGUCAUGGUAUUCAUCAUUUCAAACAUUCCAAAACGCAUGAUAAUUACGACUGGCCUAUUGCAACGAUCACAGCAGGAAAUGGUAAUUGUUGCAUACAGCUAAACUAUAAUCGAAAUCAAGUGAAUAUGUUAAAUUUUUUAGGCAACACCCGCGAAGCGUAAUAACAAAAUAUAGUUUUAAGAAUGAUGUAUGUGUAAUUGUGAAAAUUGUUUGUGUCUAUUGUCAAGUUUAUCAUGAUGCACUUAUUAUGUUGUAAAUGUUGCUAUGUUGGUGGACAUACCAAGAUAAUUGGAUCAGAGUCCCAUUAAUUUCAUAAUGCCUGGAGGAUUGGAGGAAUUUUAAUUUCUAAAACAAUUUCUGAAAUUAAAAUCUACUUGAAGGCAGUACAAAAAUUGAGAACAAAAUGUCAUCGCUACGAACAUCACGUUGCAAUAUCUGGAGAAUGGGCCCCUUGAAUUCGAUUUUCAGAUUCAAACUCAAUUAUACAAGUGCGUUGAAAACGUAGUGCUGAGUACAGAAGUUCACAAUUGGUUAGCGGAGAAUAGCAGUGCAACACUGAAACUGCGUAAAUACCAUAUCAAAGUAGUAGACUUUGCAUGAAUAUGUACGUUAAAGUUACGGCUCAAUUUAUAUAUUGACCAACAAUAUGCUGACAUUAGAAUUAGAAGCACAAAUACAAGAAUCAGAUAACAGUAGUCACAAUCACGCGAAGCAGAACUUGUCGAAUGUUUUAGAUAUUCGACAGUGAUAAAACUUUUGUACGUAUGGUGGUACAAGCUUGAGGCUAGGCGUAGAGUAGUACUAAUUCAACGAAGUUCAAUUUAAAAAAAAAAAACUUUGAAGUUUUAAGUUCAAGAGCAUAACAGGAUCUUGAGAAAAAAUGUUGGCGUACCAUAUUUAUAGAGUGUAAUAAGAUGAAUUAAUUUUACUAG
This is an RNA transcript of Neodiprion fabricii, 3861 nucleotides long. RefSeq lists it as uncharacterized. The record is from RefSeq and is a predicted model, not a curated record. The transcript has 3 exons. NCBI's taxonomy places the organism in Eukaryota, Metazoa, Arthropoda, Insecta, Hymenoptera, Diprionidae.